Molecule: ribosomal RNA, 253 nt
Filed under: uncultured bacterium
Lineage: Bacteria
Description: partial 16S ribosomal RNA
Rfam family: Bacterial small subunit ribosomal RNA
Source: RNAcentral
UACAGAGGUGGCAAGCGUUGUUCGGAAUUACUGGGCGUAAAGGGCGCGUAGGCGGUCAGGUCAGUCCCGUGUGAAAUCCCUCGGCUCAACUGAGGAACUGCACGGGAAACUGCCUGGCUUGAGUUCGGGAGAGGGAAGCGGAAUUCCGGGUGUAGCGGUGAAAUGCGUAGAUAUCCGGAGGAACACCGGUGGCGAAGGCGGCUUCCUGGACCGACACUGACGCUCAUGCACGAAAGCGUGGGGAGCAAACAGG